RNAcentral lists this ribosomal RNA (463 nucleotides) under Didymium nigripes. RNAcentral's name for it is "SSU rRNA". It matches the Rfam family "Eukaryotic small subunit ribosomal RNA", at positions 1231 to 1686 of the family's 1831-position model. The record is from RNAcentral. Lineage: Eukaryota; Evosea; Eumycetozoa; Physariida; Didymiaceae.
UCGGCAUGAAGACAGCUGAAGACUUUUCUCAAUGAUGUAAGUGGUGGUGCAUGGUCGUUCUUAGUUCGUGGAUUGAUUUGUCUGGUCUAUUCCGAUAACGAGCGAGAUCCUAACGUUCCUAAUAGGGGUCUUAGCCCAGCGACUAGCGCAAGCUGACUGCUAGCUGUGAUUCUUUACUUCUUGGACGGAUCAGGGCCGAAAAGGUCCUUGAAAUGGGUUAAUAACAGGUCAGUCAUGCCCUUAGAUGUUCUGGGCCGCACGCGCGUUACAAUGGUAAACAUAGAAAGUGCCUCUUUACGAGCCUUCUGGGGUCUAACGAUGUCAGUAAACAGUAGUCUUUUCCUUGACUGGGCUAGUCUAUUGUAAUUAUUGGUCUUCAACGAGGAAUUUUUAGUAGUCGCAGGUCAUUAACCUGCGACGAAUGCGUCCCUGCCCUUUGUACACACCGCCCGUCGCUGCUACA